AGGACCCUACCAGAAUAUAUUUGAAUACGGCAUACCCAUGAAUUCUGGAACUGUUAUUCCUUAACCCAGUUUGGAGGAUAAGAGCUUACCAACUAGUUAUAAAUAUGCUGAGGUGAUGUAUUGCAAAAUAGCCAACAUACAACAAUAUGGAUGACCCUCUGUCUGGUCAACAGGAGUUUAAAUAUGGACGGGACAGUGAUGUGGCAGCUCUUCCCUGGCUCAUUCACCUCUUGCCUUCAUUUGUGAAAGGAAGAAAGACUGGAGAGGGUCAAUGUGCAACUGAAGCCACUGAUUGUGCUGUGUGAUGAGCAUCAAUCCAUGCUUUGAGGUGGAUGAAUCAGCACAGCCCUGCCUGCACUGCGUUGGGAACAGAAGUUGCAUCCAGAAUUUUUGCAUCAUUCUGGACCAAAAAGCCAUUCCCUCCAUGAUGAAGACCACUGAUGCAGCCUUCCACUACAUCAUGAGUAAAACAACUACAGAACUAAAUACCAGUUUGGAACGUAUUUAAGAAAAAUGAAACGUCUUGUGAAUUGAAAUGUCUGUUUUGUUAUGGAAAAAUCUUUAGUAUUGUGAAGGAUAAGCAUUUCUGCCUGCCAGUAAGGUAAUUGCAGUGUAUUUUAAUGUUCAAGUUUUGAGUAGGGUGGCUAAUUUUUUUAAAACUCUCAUUUGAUAUAUUAAAGACCUUAUAAUAAGUGGUUUUCAUGUCACUGCGCUGUGGUAUAAGAUAACUUUCAUUAUUCCAUACUGUAUUCUGUUUCUAAUUGUAGCUGAGGUAUUUAAAUAAGCAGUGUUAAAUGCAAAUUGUUGUGUGUAUCAAUGUAAAUAUUAAAUGUGAUGCACUUUAAUAAAAAGAGGUUUUGCAAUAUUUCUUGUCAUUUGUCUUUUAUAGAAACAACCCAUUAGCAACAAAAGUGGCUAUUAAUCAGUAUUUUAACACUUAACAUUGUUGAAUUCACAUUACACUGGUGUUGACCUUAAAUUAGGAGUGUUAAUUUUUAACACUGUAUUUC
Paramisgurnus dabryanus is the source of this 1010-nucleotide non-coding RNA. NCBI's taxonomy places the organism in Eukaryota, Metazoa, Chordata, Actinopteri, Cypriniformes, Cobitidae. The record is from RefSeq and is a predicted model, not a curated record.